This 253-nucleotide ribosomal RNA is filed under the name uncultured bacterium. Its description in RNAcentral is "partial 16S ribosomal RNA". It matches the Rfam family "Bacterial small subunit ribosomal RNA", at positions 524 to 776 of the family's 1533-position model. The record is from RNAcentral.
UACGUAGGGUGCAAGCGUUACUCGGAAUUACUGGGCGUAAAGCGUGCGCAGGCGGUUUUGCAAGGCAGAUGUGAAAUCCCCGGGCUUAACCUGGGAACUGCAUUUGUGACUGCAUGGCUAGAGUGCGGCAGAGGGGGAUGGAAUUCCGCGUGUAGCAGUGAAAUGCGUAGAUAUGCGGAGGAACACCGAUGGCGAAGGCAAUCCCCUGGGCCUGCACUGACGCUCAUGCACGAAAGCGUGGGGAGCAAACAGG